AGAGAAUUAGUUAAACAAUAAUAUAAGAUUGUCAUUCUUAAGUUGCCUAUCACUAAGGCAUUUUCU
RNAcentral lists this transfer RNA (66 nucleotides) under Patella vulgata (common limpet). RNAcentral describes it as "tRNA-Asp". Lineage: Eukaryota; Metazoa; Mollusca; Gastropoda; Patellidae. The record is from RNAcentral.